CUCGUAGGCGGCCAACUAAGUCAGACGUGAAAUCCCUCGGCUUAACCGGGGAACUGCGUCUGAUACUGGAUGGCUUGAAUCCGGGAGAGGGAUGCGGAAUCCCAGGUGUAGCGGUGAAAUGCGUAGAUAUCUGGAGGAACACCGGUGGCGAAGGCGGCAUCCUGGACCGGCAUUGACGCUGAGGAGCGAAAGCCAGGGAGCAAACG
This 206-nucleotide ribosomal RNA is filed under the name uncultured bacterium. RNAcentral's name for it is "partial 16S ribosomal RNA". It matches the Rfam family "Bacterial small subunit ribosomal RNA", at positions 568 to 774 of the family's 1533-position model. The record is from RNAcentral.